RNAcentral lists this ribosomal RNA (575 nucleotides) under Chrysomyxa ledi. Its description in RNAcentral is "partial large subunit ribosomal RNA". It matches the Rfam family "Eukaryotic large subunit ribosomal RNA", at positions 89 to 644 of the family's 3401-position model. Lineage: Eukaryota; Fungi; Basidiomycota; Pucciniomycetes; Pucciniales; Coleosporiaceae. The record is from RNAcentral.
GCGAGUUGGAAAGGGAAAAGCCCAAAUUUGUAAUCUGGCUCUUUUUAUAAGGGUCCGAGUUGUAAUUUUGAGAACUGUUUUCCGUGCUGGACCAUGUACAAGUCUGUUGAAAAACAGCAUCAUUGAGGGUGAUAAUCCCGUAUAUGAUAUGGACUACCAGGGCAAUGUGAUACAGUCUCUAAGAGUCGAGUUGUUUGGGAAUGCAGCUCAAAGUGGGUGGUAAAUUCCAUCUAAGGCUAAAUAUAGGUGAGAGACCGAUAGCAAACAAGUACCGUGAGGGAAAGAUGAAAAGAACUUUGGAAAGAGAGUUAACAGUACGUGAAAUUGUUAAAAGGGAAACAUUUGAAGUUAGACUUGUUAUUGUUGGUUCAGCUCUUUUUAAGGGUGUAUUCCAAUGGUUAACAGACCAGCAUCAAUUUUUGGGUGUUAGAUAAGGGUCUUGAGAAUGUAGCAACCUCGGUUGUGUUAUAGAUCUUGACUUGAUAUAAUGCUUAGGAUUGAGGAACGCAGUGAGCUUCUUUUGAAGUGGAUGUUUUUAAUGUCUUCUCACUACGGAUGUUGGUGGUAAUAGCAAA